This 493-nucleotide ribosomal RNA is filed under the name uncultured bacterium. Its description in RNAcentral is "partial 16S ribosomal RNA". It matches the Rfam family "Bacterial small subunit ribosomal RNA", at positions 28 to 507 of the family's 1533-position model. The record is from RNAcentral.
GACGAACGCUGGCGGCGUGCCUAAUACAUGCAAGUAGAACGCUGAAGGAGGAGCUUGCUUCUCUGGAUGAGUUGCGAACGGGUGAGUAACGCGUAGGUAACCUGCCUGGUAGCGGGGGAUAACUAUUGGAAACGAUAGCUAAUACCGCAUAAUAGUAGAUGUUGCAUGACAUUUGCUUAAAAGGUGCAAUUGCAUCUACCAGAUGGACCUGCGUUGUAUUAGCUAGUUGGUGAGGUAACGGCUCACCAAGGCAACGAUACAUAGCCGACCUGAGAGGGUGAUCGGCCACACUGGGACUGAGACACGGCCCAGACUCCUACGGGAGGCAGCAGUAGGGAAUCUUCGGCAAUGGACGGAAGUCUGACCGAGCAACGCCGCGUGAGUGAAGAAGGUUUUCGGAUCGUAAAGCUCUGUUGUAAGAGAAGAACGAGUGUGAGAGUGGAAAGUUCACACUGUGACGGUAUCUGACCAGAAAGGGACGGCUAACUACGUG